Patiria miniata (bat star) is the source of this 209-nucleotide long non-coding RNA. RefSeq lists it as uncharacterized. The record is from RefSeq and is a predicted model, not a curated record. The transcript has 3 exons. NCBI's taxonomy places the organism in Eukaryota, Metazoa, Echinodermata, Asteroidea, Valvatida, Asterinidae.
ACCACGCUGUGCACAGCAUUGAAGAAGAUCGGAAGAGCAGAUAUUGCAGAAUUUCUUCGUCGCGGUAUGUCACAUGCCCAGGAGACCGCUAAAUCAGGUCCUGAUCAUCUAAAGAUUUGCCAGCAGCUGCUUUUCAGUUUCUACGAAGCCCAUGCAAGUAAAAUCCCAGAGCUCGUGUCUUCUUCCGUGUUACCGGCGUUGGGUGUUGA